RNAcentral lists this ribosomal RNA (452 nucleotides) under uncultured Anaerolineaceae bacterium. Its description in RNAcentral is "bacterial SSU rRNA". It matches the Rfam family "Bacterial small subunit ribosomal RNA", at positions 916 to 1382 of the family's 1533-position model. Lineage: Bacteria; Bacillati; Chloroflexota; Anaerolineae; Anaerolineales; Anaerolineaceae. The record is from RNAcentral.
GGGACCCGCACAAGCAGCGGAGCGUGUGGUUUAAUUCGUUGCUACACGAAGAACCUUACCUGGGUUUGACAUAUAGGUUGUAGGGAACUGAAAAGGGACCGACCCUUCGGGGAGCCUAUACAGGUGUUGCAUGGCUGUCGUCAGCUCGUGUCGUGAGAUGUUCGGUUAAGUCCGCUAACGAGCGCAACCCUCGUCGUAUGUUAUAUGUGUCAUACGAGACUGCCGGUAAAAGCCGGAGGAAGGUGAGGAUGAUGUCAAGUCAGCAUGACCUUUAUAUCCAGGGCUACACACACGCUACAAUGGUCUGUACAAUGGGUAGCCAAGCCGCGAGGCGGAGCCAAUCCUGAAAGCAGGCCUCAGUUCAGAUUGCAGUCUGCAACUCGACUGCAUGAAGCCGGAGUUGCUAGUAACCGCAGGUCAGCAAUACUGCGGUGAAUACGUUCCCGGGUCUU